Molecule: long non-coding RNA, 4942 nt
Filed under: Marmota monax (woodchuck)
Lineage: Eukaryota; Metazoa; Chordata; Mammalia; Rodentia; Sciuridae
Source: RNAcentral
AUACUAGGGGGAUGUGACGCAACGUUAUGGAAGUCGCCAUUUUGUACGGAAGCCAACGUCGCUCAUUUCUAUAACGGACAAUCGAAAGAAGAUGGCCGCUUUCAUGAUGUUGGAAAGCCUUCGCUGGGAAGGGGACAUCAUUUUCAGUAGAAAAUGAGAUGCAUUUUAAGAAGUUAAAUUGUCACAGAGGUUGGCAAAGAAGUUUAAUUGAAAGCAUGUUAGGAGCGCCGUUGUUCCGAAAUCUGAGGGGCGGAGUCGACACGUAGAGCGGCUUUGCGCGUGCGCAUCAGCUAGGCGGUUAGAUUUGAAUACUUCGCUGAGUUUGGCUGGGCGUUGUGUGGUGACGUCUUUGCUGAAGAGCGCGCGGACCCCAAACAAGUUAAGCUGGUGGGCUGUGGCAGGUAAGGAGAAUGACCCUCUCUCAUUCUGAGCUCCUGAGAGGAUGUGGGUUUUGUCUGAGCACUUUGGAGGUCCGGCAUGGGAGGUGGAGGAUGCUGGGUCAGUCCCGCGGCCUCCGAAUGCGGCGGGCGCAGGGCUCUUUUCUCACCCCGGCCUGCACUUUGUUCCUCCUUUCCUCCCUAGCGCUUUGGCAACCACACCUGUGCUCUCGGACCGCCUCGGAUCGCUUGCUCGUCUAGCUCGCGGCUUCCUGGCCCGCCCACACCUUUCAUUUUUCUUUUUGGUUGUUUGUAUUUCUGACUUAAGCUUUUCUUUGCUAUAAAUGAAGCGACAACAAUGAGUGAUAUUUAAGCUCUCGGCUCUCAUUGGUUACCUAGCAGCACAGAACCGGUUUUCGGUUUUCUGCAGAUACUGUUAACAAAGUCAAUUUAAGCAUCCCACACUUUUUUUUUUUUUUAAAUCUUCUUCUGACCGGCUCAGGGUCAAAGCUCCUUUUUCUUGCUGUUUAUUUAAAUAUUAGAGUUUGGGAAGAAAAAUGCUGCUGUUUGGAAUUUUAAAGAUGGGUUUAUUAGGCGUUAACAGAGAUAAAGGGUGGUGCGGAUGAAGACCAAAGCACAAGGUAACUCGGGAUAUGAAGACCGAAGUAACUUUUCAAAUCAGUUGAAUUGGAUCAACUGAAUUCCUCAUAUUUAUUGGGUUCCUUGCCUUGUGCUAGGGCUGGGAGUCCCUAAGUCCCAGAAAGGGAAAUAAUUAGUAUAUACAAAAUAACUGUGAUACAAGACAGAAUGUAAGGAAUUAUAAGACAUUCCAAAGAGGUAUGAUAAACAGAAAGGAGAACUGAUUUGAUGCUUUUGACAAUGAAGAAUUAAAGUGGAUUUCAUGGAGAAAAUGGCAUUUGAAGUGGAACUUGGAGGAAUGAUUUACAGAAAUGGAGAGUUAAUAUUGUAAAAUUUUGAAAAUUAAAGGUUAGGUUCAAAGCAAUACAAUUUUUGACCCUUUAAAUGACUGGAAAUGUUCAUAGGGAAACAGAUACAUGUAAAUUGAGUAAAAAUGGAAUGAUAGUCUUUAAUGAUGUGUUGAAUACUAAUAAAAUUGAAGAUACUCUAGAUAUUGAUAGUAGGAUGGUGCUCUCCAGUAGAACUUUCACAGUGGUAAUACUUUAUAUCUGUGCUGUCCAACACAGUAUUCAUUAACUUCUGUGGCUAUUGAACACUUGAAAUGUGGCUGUUGUGAUCAAAGACCUGAAUUUUAUUUUAAUUAAUGUAAAUGUAAAUAACUCCUAUAUUGGACAGCACUGGUCUAUAACACUGGACAAUGGAAAAUAUUUACUCUAGGUAUUGGUGGUGUAAAUUCAGGAGUAGACAGAGAGCCAGAUAGUAAAUAUUUCAGGCUUUGCGGGCUACAAAGUCACUGGCAUGGUCUCUGUUACAUUCUUUGUUUUGUUGUUGUCUUCGUUUUCUAUACCUCAUUAAAAAAUUAGCUUUGUUUUCUAUGUGAAAACUUAAAAUUAAAAAUGUGAAAAACUGCUUUUAGCUCAAGGGCUGAUUUGGUCUAGUGGCAAUGGUUUACAGUCCCCUGGAUUAUUUCUACUACAGGUUAGGAAGCUUUCUUGGUUCAGGUGACAUCCUUAGGCAAACAAACAAACAAACACAAAAACCUGGUAAUUUUAUUUCAGUAGUUAAAUACAAACAGCUUAAUGAGUAUAUAUGUUCUAACAAUUCAUAGCCAUUUGAAAAAAUACGCAUAAAUUGAAGGAAAAGAACAUAUUUACUUUUUUUCUUAAAUAAUCAUGGUUACUAGGGCUGGGGCUGGGGCUGGGGCUGAGCAGUAGAGCGCUUACCUCACAUGUGUGAGGCAUUGGGUUCAAUCCUCAGCACCACAUACAAAUAAAUAAAUGAAAUAAAGGUGUUGUGUCCAUUUACAACUAAACAAAAUAUUAAAAAUUAGAUAUGUGUACCUCUUAGAUACUGUACAAAAUCUCAAACCUUGGAAUCAGAUUGUACAUAGCCACUCAUUUCCUGAGCCACUUUGAUAUAAACAAACAAAAAAAACCUUGAUUUUAUUUAUAUCAAUUGCCAAAAAUCUAGCUUCACAGUAAUACAUUAUUAAAUAUGAAUGGGUACUAUUUUGAGCUAAUGGUUCACAUGGUGCCUGUCAGAUGUUGAAAAUGGGGUGUUUCAAAAACUAAAAAUAAACAAACACCUCUGUGCUAUGCUGCCAGCACCCUGGAUGCCAGGUGCACAGUUUUGAGGCUAAUCAGUAAAAAUUACUACGUAAUUAAUAGUUCAGCUGGACUGUGUUUUAUAAGUGAGACUUAAUAUGAUACUCUGGGGUCUCCUAUUUCCGUUGAGGGUAAAACUUAAACAGUUAAAUAUUAAGAAGAUGGGACGUCAGUAAACUUUGAAUCUCAUCAGAUAAUCAAGUACUUACCAAUCUCCAGGUUCAACAGGAGUUGUGCUCAAUGACUAUUUCAAACAGUCAUUUUGAUGUUUAGGUGACCUUGAGCUGAUAAGUAUUUAGUAUUUUUAUCUGGAGUUUGAAUAUGUAUACUGAGUUUGAAAAUAUUCCCAAAGAAGAUAAAAAUAUGCUGGUUGGUAAUCAUAAAGUCAAUUUUAUUUUUAAUUGUGGUUUUGGGAAUUAAACCUUGCACAUGCCAAGCAAGUGCUCUACUGCUGAGCUAAUUACCCAGCCCCAAAUAAUUGUUUCUUCAUUACUCAUUCAGCAAGUAUUUAUUGAGCUCCUUCUAUUUACAAAGCACUGCUAGCUGUAAUAGUGAACAUAAGAUUCAUCAGCUCUAGUCUCAUAAUUUACUGUUGGAGCAAGGGUAGUUUGUGGAGCUAAUAGAAAUAACAGACAUUUAUUUAUUUAUAUAUUUAUUUAUGUAUGUAUGUAUUUGUGGUACUAGGAGUUGAACUUAGGGCCUCAAGCGUGGAAGGCAGAUACUACCACUGAGCUACAUCCACAGCCCUAAAAAGCGUACUUUUAAUUUAUGAAAGAAACACUCAAGAGGAAGUAUACAUAAUGCUACCAAGAGGAUAAACACAACACCUUUAUUUAUUUUUCUGUGGUGCUGAGGAUUGAACCCAGUGUCUCACAUCUGCUAGGCAAGUGCUCUGCCACUGAGCUAUAACCCUGGCCUUUUCUUGUCUUUCUUACCAAGAGAGAAUAGCAAAUAUAAACACAUAGAUUUAAGGAAGAGUUCUGUGUGUUUAGGGAUUGAAAGAAAGGCUAGGGGAAUAGUAUAGUCAGAGAGGAGACUGGUAAGAGAUGAAAUAUAAAGCCUAAGGCAAGCAGGGACUAGAUCUGGUAGAACUCUAUAGGUCUUAGUAAAGUGUUUAUUCUCAGCACAAUGGAAAGCCACUCUAUAGGUCUUAGUAAAAUGUUUAUUCUCAGCACAAUGGAAAGCCAAUGGAGAUAACUAAAUGCUGUUUAGAAAGAAAAUUGUAGAGGGAUAAGAGUGAAAGCAAGGAUACCAGGGAGGUAGAUAUUAUGAUAUUUUAUGUAAGAGUUCAUAGUAGAUUGAACUAUGGUGUUGAACUGAAAAUAGAAAUGAAUGGAUUGAAAAAAUGUACUGAAAAUAGAACUACUAAGACUGGAUGAAUUAAAUAGAAAUGGCUGUUGCACUUGUUUGAUCUUACAGAAGUUCAACCAUUAAGUUGAUGUUUACUAUUGUUUUUUUAAAUAGAUACUGUUAAUUCAGACUCUGCCUCUAGCUUGGUAAGGGUUUUGUUUUGUUUUUUGAAGAACAAGAAAGGAUGUUAAAGUUCAUACUUUUUUUUUCAUCUGUUAUUAUAUGAUUUUCAUUUUUAAUCUCUUAGUAUGAUAAAAUUUCAAGGUUUAUUUUCUAGAGUUAAACCAGUUUUGUGUUUCUGGAAUAAAGCAAACAUGACUACGAUACAAUAUUCUUUUUCCUAAUAAUUUAUUUAGAAUUUUCUUAUUUAUGAUAGUGAGAUUGGCAUGCAGUCUUUACUUUCUUGUACUGUAUUUAUCUGUUUGUGCAUGAGUGUGUAGAGAAAAGGAGGCAGUUGCAAGAAAGGGUGCUUAAUUUUCAUUUCCCAUGGUUUAAUGCUAAAACUAGACAAAUCAAAAUUUAGCAAUAUAAACAAUUUAUCUAGACCAACACAUAUAAAAAUAUGUACAAAGUGAGAGUGGUUGCUUUUGGGAAGGAGGAGUUUGGAAUGCAGAAAGCUGCUGGUUUAAAAAGCAGCAAUCGGUGUCUGUUUUAGUUAUCUAAUGGACAAGUUUUUAUUUUAACCAGUUAAGUUCAUAUCAUUCUCAUCAAUAUUAGUACAGAUUUUAUCUUGAAUAUAAGAAUUUUCUGGGAGUGUUAAUCAAAAUGCAGUAGUUUGAACUCCUUGAAGUAUCUCAUAUUUUAGAGCUCAUAUAUUUUUCCUUCUAUUUUUGGUCUUCUUAGAAAGUAACCCUAAAAUCUCAACAGUGUUCUUAUUUCCUCAUAGAGUGUAAUUUUUCUUCCUUCUUAUGUACCUUUUCUAAUAUUGUGUAUUUAUUUCAGGGAAAAAAGUUUUCUUAAAAUAUGGAUGGG